CAGCCGCCACGGGAAUACGAAGGGGGCUAGCGUUGCUCGGAAUUACUGGGCGUAAAGGGAGCGUAGGCGGACAUUUAAGUCAGGGGUGAAAUCCCGGGGCUCAACCUCGGAAUUGCCUUUGAUACUGGGUGUCUUGAGUAUGAGAGAGGUAUGUGGAACUCCGAGUGUAGAGGUGAAAUUCGUAGAUAUUCGGAAGAACACCAGUGGCGAAGGCGACAUACUGGCUCAUUACUGACGCUGAGGCUCGAAAGCGUGGGGAGCAAACAGGAUUAGAUACCCCUGUAGUCCCUGUCUCUUAUAC
RNAcentral lists this ribosomal RNA (301 nucleotides) under uncultured bacterium. Its description in RNAcentral is "partial 16S ribosomal RNA". It matches the Rfam family "Bacterial small subunit ribosomal RNA", at positions 509 to 807 of the family's 1533-position model. The record is from RNAcentral.